Neofelis nebulosa (Clouded leopard) is the source of this 288-nucleotide long non-coding RNA. RefSeq lists it as uncharacterized. The transcript has 2 exons. NCBI's taxonomy places the organism in Eukaryota, Metazoa, Chordata, Mammalia, Carnivora, Felidae. The record is from RefSeq and is a predicted model, not a curated record.
GUGCCUGGUAGGGCUCUGUGCUGUAAUGACUCUCCAUUAGGCCCAACCAGAUUUAACUUUGAUGAGCCUGAUGCAUUUUGAGGAACAGCCUGAAAUACAGGCAAAUGUGCAUAAGCGUUUAAAGGAGAAAACCUACACCCAUAAAAUAAUUCUUCACAGCAGCCAGUUUCUUCCCUGGAUACAUGAUUCAUCUCAGGGGGCUGGGGGACCCAUCCCUAAUGGGGACGGAAUGACACUGCAUUCUUGUGACCAGCUUUCCAUGAGUUAAAUUGCAUCACUUAGACUCAU